This is a long non-coding RNA of Rosa chinensis, 920 nucleotides long. RefSeq lists it as uncharacterized. NCBI's taxonomy places the organism in Eukaryota, Viridiplantae, Streptophyta, Magnoliopsida, Rosales, Rosaceae. The record is from RefSeq and is a predicted model, not a curated record. The transcript is spliced from 4 exons.
UGUCAUUUGUAUGCAGGAACCGUUCUUUAAAAGACUUUGACCCGCUUCGCUCUUGUCCACCACGUAGCUUUCAGGUGGUCUCAAGAUUGAUUGUACGAGAACAAUCCUCGAUGCAUGCUGGGGUAACCCACAAGAAGGUGAGCUAAACCGAACACUCUGAAGUCUUGCGGCUGGAGGUAGGCACCCUUCUGUGGAGAGACGACCACUUUACUUUGGGCACCAUUCUGGUGACGACUUCGCUGCAGGUGAAGUAACUUCUUACAUCUGGCGCUGCACAAAGAUCCCUCCGGAGCAGUUUCUUUGCUUUGUGAGUCGAAGCAUGAUUAAUUUGUACUUGGCGUGAACCGGCAGCCCCAGGUUUCACUUGACACUCAUCUUUGCCACCCAUAUGCAGGACGCACCGCGAUACAGGCAUCAAAAACAAGCGCAGUGAAACCCCCUUGAGUUGGACCUUGCUUUCGCCACCUAUACGCAGGACGCACCGCAAUAUAGGCAUCGAAAGAAGGUCGAGAAUACACGGGCAAAUGGAGGUGUUUUGUUUUCUGAUUUUGGUGGGCAACAAUGAGGGAUUUGAGGCUUUGUGAGUUGUGAUGGUGUUGUUGGCAUAUUUGGCCGGAGUGGUUUGUUUUCGGAGCUGUUUAAGAAGGAUUACAGAGCCCACAUGGAAAUAGGCAGAGGCAAGUCUUUCUGCACUCAUGGAGAUAUUAGCAACGAUAAAGGGAGAGUAGCAAGGAAGACCAUGAAGAAACGACCAGCAGGAUACCUGAAUAUGAAGCUCUCCUGUCGUCGGGUUGUCGUCUCCAGAGCUCUUUAAAUAGGCACGUAGAAGAAUAAGAGAUCAUGCAGGUUAACCCUGAUUUUAAAUUCGAAAUGAUCUUCAGAUGAUGAUAACCACUCCCGCAUUCAAACUUGCAACCGUG